AGAGUUUGAUCCUGGCUCAGGACGAACGCUGGCGGCGUGCCUAAUACAUGCAAGUAGAACGCUGAAGAGAGGAGCUUGCUCUUCUUGGAUGAGUUGCGAACGGGUGAGUAACGCGUAGGUAACCUGCCUGGUAGCGGGGGAUAACUAUUGGAAACGAUAGCUAAUACCGCAUAAAAUUGAUUAUUGCAUGAUAAUUAAUUGAAAGAUGCAAUUGCAUCACUACCAGAUGGACCUGCGUUGUAUUAGCUAGUUGGUGAGGUAACGGCUCACCAAGGCGACGAUACAUAGCCGACCUGAGAGGGUGAUCGGCCACACUGGGACUGAGACACGGCCCAGACUCCUACGGGAGGCAGCAGUAGGGAAUCUUCGGCAAUGGGGGGAACCCUGACCGAGCAACGCCGCGUGAGUGAAGAAGGUUUUCGGAUCGUAAAGCUCUGUUGUAAGAGAAGAACGGGUGUGAGAGUGGAAAGUUCACACUGUGACGGUAUCUUACCAGAAAGGGACGGCUAACUACGUGCCAGCCGCCGCGGUAAU
This 534-nucleotide ribosomal RNA is filed under the name uncultured Streptococcus sp. RNAcentral describes it as "bacterial SSU rRNA". It matches the Rfam family "Bacterial small subunit ribosomal RNA", at positions 8 to 524 of the family's 1533-position model. The record is from RNAcentral. Lineage: Bacteria; Bacillati; Bacillota; Bacilli; Lactobacillales; Streptococcaceae.